GUUUAUUCCAGUUGCUGCAUACCUUAAAAGAUUAACUAAAUCAAAUGAAGAAAAAGUAUUUCUCUCUAUUUAACUUUAUCUUUUGCAUUUCAGUAUUAACAGCAGAUGAGGAAGUGUCUACGGACAAGACACUUGUACAUAACAAGUAUUAAAUUCAAUUAUAUGUCUGCUAUGGAACUUAAAUCUUAUUUAUAGGUGAUGAAAGUUAUCCAUUCAAAUUAAAACUCAGUAUUUUCAACAUAAAUAUAGUCACAUUUAAUUCUAACAGAUUUUUUUUUUAACUGAAAUUGUCUUGUCCGUAGACAUCACCACAAUAUAUUUGUAUCCAAUUUCCUUGAGUUCAGCAUAAUUUGAUAGGUAAAAUGUAUGUUAUUUUUUCA
This 380-nucleotide long non-coding RNA is filed under the name Mytilus galloprovincialis (Mediterranean mussel). The record is from RNAcentral. Lineage: Eukaryota; Metazoa; Mollusca; Bivalvia; Mytilida; Mytilidae.